Molecule: ribosomal RNA, 468 nt
Filed under: uncultured bacterium
Lineage: Bacteria
Description: partial 16S ribosomal RNA
Rfam family: Bacterial small subunit ribosomal RNA
Source: RNAcentral
GACGAACGCUGGCGGCGUGCUUAACACAUGCAAGUCGAACGGAAAGGCCCUGCUUUUGUGGGGUGCUCGAGUGGCGAACGGGUGAGUAACACGUGAGUAACCUGCCCUUGACUUUGGGAUAACUUCAGGAAACUGGGGCUCAUACCGGAUAGGAGCUCCUGCUGCAUGGUGGGGGUUGGAAAGUUUCGGCGGUUGGGGAUGGACUCGCGGCUUAUCAUCUUGUUGGUGGGGUAGUGGCUUACCAAGGCUUUGACGGGUAGCCGGCCUGAGAGGGUGACCGGCCACAUUGGGACUGAGAUACGGCCCAGACUCCUACGGGAGGCAGCAGUGGGGAAUAUUGCACAAUGGGCGGAAGCCUGAUGCAGCAACGCCGCGUGCGGGAUGACGGCCUUCGGGUUGUAAACCGCUUUCGCCUGUGACGAAGCGUGAGUGACGGUAAUGGGUAAAGAAGCACCGGCUAACUACGUG